UGUUAUCAAAAAGUUUAUGCAUGUUUGACUCUCAAAAGUAGGAUCAAGGUUUGAAUGGAAAAGGGUAUACCCAUUUAGGUCAUGGUCGUCGAUACCCAUUAAAUCAAGGGCAAAGUUGUCAGGCAAAGUAAUGGACUCGUACUUUGCUUGAUUUGCGUCUUCGGGUAGAUUAAUAUCAGCAUUUGCAUAAGCCUUGCUUAUUUCUAUACGUAAAGAAUUACAGUCGUGCUGGAGAUACUCGACUUUCUUUGAGUAAAUUCUAACAACGCCAAAUAGAAGAUGCCCGGACAUUCUUAAGGCAAUCGGGACUUCCGGGUUCAUUAUUUUCUCUACAGAAGUUCAAUCCAUGCAUCAGUCAGGGAUGUUGACACUAAUAUAGUUGGGUUUCUUGAGCCUGUUUUGAAGAUGUGCUGCACACCACACAGUGCCCAAUGGACCCUUUCUAGCAAGCAGAUUGUGAGAGUAGAACAUCUUCAAGAUUGGAUUUUUUGUUGAAUGACACAAAUGGGUUUUGUGAGAAUUGGGGGUGGGAGUGAGUGAAUUAAGGUUGAAAAUUGGGGGAAAUUACGGGGAGGGUGAAGAAAAUGGCGCCAUUUUAGGGAAGAAUGUAAUCCAUGAUUUUGUUU
RNAcentral lists this long non-coding RNA (626 nucleotides) under Helianthus annuus (common sunflower). The record is from RNAcentral. Lineage: Eukaryota; Viridiplantae; Streptophyta; Magnoliopsida; Asterales; Asteraceae.